GGAGUGCAAUGGCACGAUCUUGGCUCACCGCAACCUCAGCUUCUCGGGCUUAAGUGAUUCUCCUGCCUCAGCCUCCCGAAUAGCUGGGAUUACAGGCAGGCACCACCAUGCCUGGCUAAUUUUGUAUUUUUAGUAGAGACGGGGUUUCUCCAUGUUGGUCAGGCUGGUCUCGAACUCCCAACCUUAGGUGAUCCACCCGCCUCAGCCUCCCAAAGUGCUGGGAUUACAGGCAUGAGCCACUGCACCCGGCCAGGAGCCAAUUUCAAUGGGAGUAUCCUUUACUAUCAUUCCUGACCUGUGAUAUUGGCCAUUAGAGCCUUUCAAGAAUGGUACCUCCUGCCGAUGAUUUUUUUUAAAGCCUUAAUGAAGAGAGUGUCCUCUGGAUCCUUCCAGAGAAGAUAGGAUGUGAGUGAGUAAGUUAUGUAUAAUAAUUUCACCCCAAAAUUUCUAUGUCCUUGAUACCAUUCCCUGUAUACCAAGGAAGGGUAUUCUGGCAUUUCACUUUGAUUUAAUAUAAGUAAACCCUGUGUCUGGGCAUUAGUUAACAAACCAAGUGACUACAAGUGAUAAGUAACUUUUACCAUAGACUGUCAAUUACCUUGGCAAUGGAAACAUUAUUGCUUUUUAAUCCAGUCAGAUCAGAGAACAAAUUCCAGAUUUCCAUCCUUAAGAUUCUGUGUCUCUGCUACCACUUCUGGUAGCAAAACAUGUCAGUGUGAGGUAGAGUCAAUGGAAUGUAGCCAUGAAAAAAAAAAUGCUACUACAAACAUUACAGGAAUAAGGAAUUUGAUCGAAGAAUUAGCAUUUACACAAAAUAUGGGAGGAGUUAGGGAAGUGAAAGAAUGAAAGGAGAAAGAGGAUAAAGAAAACACUAACCACAUCACCCUAAAGCCCUUAUUGCUAAAUGAGGUUAUUGUAGUGCCAGUUAAGUCCAGGUCAGCCAAGGCGUGCGUACCCCUUGGCCCCACUUGGAAAGCUGUGUGGAUAUGACUGUUGGAUUAGGGGGUUCUCAAAGCCAAAAUGGAUUUAUCAGCAAUGACCUUACUGCCUGGUACCCAGCUUUGAGAGGACCAAAAACGACGGAUGUGUCUUGCAUUCCCUGGUCCCUCUUUCUUCUUUUACCCAUAUCUAAGUUGUUUAAAGGAGAAAAAUCCUUAGGUUGAAGCCAUAUUCUCUCUAUUCUUGAAGGACCACAGACUCUACGCCCCUGUUGAAAUUUUCUGGAAGCCUAUGGGAAAGGAGGAAUGAAAAGCUUCGUGAUGUCUUUGAAUACAGGAAAUGGCUUAUUGCAAAGAACCACUAGAACUUUCUGAAGCCCGGGAAGUCAAAGAUCAAAGUGCUGGCAGGUCUGGUGUCUGGUGGGGGCACCUUCUCACUGUCCUCACAUGGUAGAAGAAGCAAGGGAAACUCUUGGGCCUCUUUAGAGGUACUAAUCCCACUCAUGAGGCCUUUACCUUCUUGACCUAGUCAUUUUUCAAAGGCUCGACCCAUCAUCAUUCGUAUGUUAGGAUUUCAACGUACAAAUUUGUGGGGUUGGGAGGGAUACAAGCAUUCAGAGCAUAGCACUAUUUUAAUAAUCAUUUCAAAUAGAGUCAUUCUAUACCUAGUCUGGAUUUUUGUUUGUUUUACUUGACCUCAUUCACUUGGGUAGGAAAAAAAUCUCAUGGACUCUCAUUGAUAGCCCCAGGGGUAAGGUUGGGGCAAAAAGAGCAGAGGCACUCAUUUACUGUGAGGUAAGAAAUCUGUUUCAGAUCACCUUGUGUGCAAUUCAGGAUAAAAUUAAUAAAGAUGAAUAGUAAAAAUCCAAUACUAAGAGAUAAAACUCAGGAGUCAAAAGAAGAAAUCAGAAAGAUUAGAGCAUAAUUCAGAAUGUAAUGAAAACAAACUAUGCAUAGAAACUUGUGGUAUUCGGCCAAGACAGCAUGUAGGAGAAAAUGCAAGUAUUACCUUUCUUGCUUGUAUUAGGAUAAAAAGUUGAAAAUUAACAAGCUAAGUAUCUAACUGAAAGAGAAAGAAAGAAAUAAUAAAGGUAACAGCAGAAAUUAAGAAAACAACCAUACUGUAGAAAAAACAAAGCCCAAA
RNAcentral lists this long non-coding RNA (2082 nucleotides) under Homo sapiens (human). RNAcentral describes it as "HSALNT0187018". The record is from RNAcentral. Lineage: Eukaryota; Metazoa; Chordata; Mammalia; Primates; Hominidae.